GGGCUUGUAGCUCAGUGGAUAGAGCGACGGCCUCCUAAGCCGUAGGUCGGCGGUUCGAGUCCGCCCAAGCUCGCCA
RNAcentral lists this transfer RNA (76 nucleotides) under Synergistaceae bacterium. RNAcentral's name for it is "tRNA-Arg". It matches the Rfam family "tRNA". Rfam says of the family: Transfer RNA (tRNA) molecules are approximately 80 nucleotides in length. Their secondary structure includes four short double-helical elements and three loops (D, anti-codon, and T loops). Lineage: Bacteria; Thermotogati; Synergistota; Synergistia; Synergistales; Synergistaceae. RNAcentral also lists the same sequence under 1 other name. The record is from RNAcentral.